AGCGCAGAGGCCAGUAACCCAGGAAACCGGGGGUUGGUUCGGAGGGCUGGAGGCAGUCAGUUUACUAGGGAGCGCCGGCCCGCGGGUUUUAGAGUUAAUCCUGGGCUUCCCUGGUAGCUCCGCUGGUGAAGAAACCGCCUGUAAUGAAGGAGACCCCAGUUCGACUCCUGGGUGAAUGAACGAGACCCCAGUUCGACUCCUGGGUGGGGAAAAUCCCCUGAAGAAGGGAUAGCCUACCCACUGCAGUACUUUUGGGUUUCCCUGGUGGCUGAGAUGGAACCACUGUAAUUUUAUUUUAUAAACAUUAAGGAAAAAGAAGAGCAAUUGGCAUUUUCUCCUCCAGGGCUGCCCAGGCUGAAAAGUAGAAAUGAUCCUUGUACUAUUGAUAUUUUGAAAAUAAGCCAUUAAUUGAGGCACUUAUUACUUUAUUGCUUGUUUUUGGCAGUCUUGCAUGCAAUGACCAAAAAAUCCUUAAAACUAUUAAGCCAUUUGUACAAAGUGGAUAUCAAAAACAAUAUGUUUUUGAAAAUAACUAGCAAUCCCAAGAUAAUUAAAUAGAAACUAUAACAGAAAAAAAAAUCUUUUAAUUAUGAAAAAAACUUAAGGAAAAUAUUAAC
Long non-coding RNA from Bos taurus (domestic cattle), 617 nucleotides. The record is from Ensembl. NCBI's taxonomy places the organism in Eukaryota, Metazoa, Chordata, Mammalia, Artiodactyla, Bovidae.